RNAcentral lists this ribosomal RNA (467 nucleotides) under uncultured bacterium. Its description in RNAcentral is "partial 16S ribosomal RNA". It matches the Rfam family "Bacterial small subunit ribosomal RNA", at positions 28 to 506 of the family's 1533-position model. The record is from RNAcentral.
GACGAACGCUGGCGGCGUGCUUAACACAUGCAAGUCGAACGGAAAGGCCCUGCUUUUGUGGGGUGCUCGAGUGGCGAACGGGUGAGUAACACGUGAGUAACCUGCCCUUGACUUUGGGAUAACUUCAGGAAACUGGGGCUAAUACCGGAUAGGAGCUCCUGCUGCAUGGUGGGGGUUGGAAAGUUUCGGCGGUUGGGGAUGGACUCGCGGCUUAUCAGCUUGUUGGUGGGGUAGUGGCUUACCAAGGCUUUGACGGGUAGCCGGCCUGAGAGGGUGACCGGCCCACUUGGGAUGUGGGAACGGCCCGAACCCCUCCGGGGGGGAGGGGGGGGGAAUUUUGCACAAGGGGCGGAAGCCUGGAGGAGCAACGCCGGGGGGGGGAGGACGGCCUUGGGGUUGUAAACCGCUUUCGCCUGGGACGAAGGGGGGGGGAGGGGAAUGGGAAAAGAAGCACCGGCAAACUAGGG